GACGAAGGGGGCUAGCGAUGUUCGGAAUUACUGGGCGUAAAGGGCGCGUAGGCGGCGUCGUAAGUCAGGCGUGAAAGGCCCGGGCUCAACCCGGGAACUGCGCUUGAUACUGCGGCGCUCGAGUCCGGGAGAGGAUGGCGGAAUUCCCAGUGUAGAGGUGAAAUUCGUAGAUAUUGGGAAGAACACCGGUGGCGAAGGCGGCCAUCUGGACCGGUACUGACGCUAAUGCGCGAAAGCGUGGGGAGCAAACAGG
Molecule: ribosomal RNA, 253 nt
Filed under: uncultured bacterium
Lineage: Bacteria
Description: partial 16S ribosomal RNA
Rfam family: Bacterial small subunit ribosomal RNA
Source: RNAcentral